CGAUGGGCCGGCCGGGGCCCGCGUCGACGAUGUCGACGUCGUCGAGGGCGCCGAGCACGCGGCAUCCGGGUUCGAGAUCCGCGCCACCGCC
This 91-nucleotide transfer RNA is filed under the name Microbacterium testaceum. RNAcentral's name for it is "tRNA-Asp". The record is from RNAcentral. Lineage: Bacteria; Bacillati; Actinomycetota; Actinomycetes; Micrococcales; Microbacteriaceae.